Long non-coding RNA from Anas platyrhynchos (mallard), 1455 nucleotides. RefSeq lists it as uncharacterized. The record is from RefSeq and is a predicted model, not a curated record. Lineage: Eukaryota; Metazoa; Chordata; Aves; Anseriformes; Anatidae.
UUACAAAGCUAUAGCCAAUUUAGUACUCAUAAUGUGUUUGUUUUCAUCCCACUGUGUUUCAAUUCUGAAAAGCACACCAGGAAACAAAGUGUUUUCACAUGUGAAGAGACGAAGAGAUACAGAAAUUGUAGCAAUUAAUAGCUCUUCCAAUAAACUGAGCUUUCAAGGAGAAGACAUCAUCAGCAAUGUUGACUGGAAGAGGAGUACAUGAAAACUGGGACCUUAGAUGGGCCAACAAAGGCACAAAUACUAUUUCCACAGUCUACACAGUUUUUCCAUCCAGUAGAAAGGCAACAGAUCAACUGUGUCAUUCCACAACAUUCUCAGCAUGCCAUACAAAAUGUCUUAUCACUUGGAGCUUUGGAGAAAAGGAAACUAUUAAGUUACUCCAUCAUCAGAAAGCAAAUAAUAAUCUUUUUGAGGACAGAUUGCUAGAGAAGACAUUAGCAGGAAAACAGAUUUUUCUUAGGCAGAAGACAGCUUAAUUGUCAUUGGCUUGUAAAUCAAGGAUAUGUGAAUAUUUGCAUUUUUAUUGUUGAUAAUCUAAUAUUUGUAAAAAGAUGUUACUUGUUCUUUUUUUCAGUGACUUGGCAAAUAUGACAGAAAAUUAAGUUUUAGGGUAUUUCUGAAGGCACUCUGGUAGUGAAUUUAUCCCUAAGGCAGUACCAUAUGGUCAAACAAAUCUUCAACAGGAAAGGUUUCAGCCAAUUUUUUCAGAUGUUAACAUGCUUUAUUUUGCACACUGAAGUACAGCACGUGAUGAUAACAGGUGCUACUAAAAUGCUAGUAGGGAAUUUUUGGAUGAAUUUGGGUUAGAAAAAGAAUCCUGAGGUGCAGCACUGGUGUACUUCUGCAUCCAGCCAUCACCUCUUGCUUGAUUCACAGCACCUCACAGCUAAACACUCUAGGAAGCUUGAUUUGUCGUUAAUCAUAAAUACCUGCAGCAAUAUCAAAUGCAGUGGUCUUAUUUUCUUUCAUUAAGUAGCUGUACCUAAUGUACUGGAGUGAGGGUAAAAAGAGACCUCCUAGCUUGUGUGCUUGAUGAGCACACAAGGAGAAGACCUCCAAGGUUGUGCUUGAUGUGUGGGAGAGGGCAAAGUUGGGAACCAGCAGCCUGAAGGUGAGGGAACAACAACCUCUCCAUGGUGGAAAGAGUAAUAAAAGAAAGUGAGAGGAGAAAAACUGGAGCCCCAGGGCCCUCAGUGGGACUAUGUGAAGGCAAGAGCAGCAGCCUCUCUUUUGCUGGUUCUGAGAAGAAGAUAUUGUCUGUACUCUGUUCACGUAUCAAAACAAAUCCAGUAAUGAGUGGGUUUGUAGCACAAAGCUUCAAGAUAAGAAGGUGAUAGAAGAAGACAAUGUAAAGCAAAUGAAGAAGCAGACAUUAGCUUGGCAUCUACUGCUGCAGCGCCUGCACACCGUCAUCUUCAAUGUGUUUGUGUUUAUCUGCACAGUGCC